RNAcentral lists this unclassified non-coding RNA (228 nucleotides) under Hevea brasiliensis (rubber tree). The record is from RNAcentral. Lineage: Eukaryota; Viridiplantae; Streptophyta; Magnoliopsida; Malpighiales; Euphorbiaceae.
GUUUGUAUGAACCUUCUCUACUUUACUGAGCUUGGCUUCCUCCAUCCCCCUUUUCUUCAGCUUUCCUAUUUUCGCUCGUAGCUCCGAUGCAGUUCCCAUCAUUUCCUGGAACAUCUCAUUCACAGAAUUUUGCUCAUAUAGUUGUAAUGCUUCGUUGAAAUGAUUAAUUUGGGAGUUACUGGAAGCAGUUUGCCUUUCCAAAGCUUGUAGCUCUUGGCUCAAUACAAU